UACGUAGGGACCGAGCGUUGUCCGGAAUCAUUGGGCGUAAAGAGCGUGUAGGCGGCCACUUAAGUCCUGCGUGAAAUCUUGCGGCUCAACCGCAAGCGGUCGUGGGAAACUGGGUGGCUAGAGUGCGGGAGAGGAGAGUGGAAUUCCGAGUGUAGAGGUGAAAUUCGUAGAUAUUCGGAGGAACACCAGUGGCGAAGGCGGCUUCUGGUCUGUAACUGACGCUGAGGCGGCGAAAGCGUGGGGAGCAAACAGGG
RNAcentral lists this ribosomal RNA (254 nucleotides) under uncultured bacterium. RNAcentral's name for it is "partial 16S ribosomal RNA". It matches the Rfam family "Bacterial small subunit ribosomal RNA", at positions 524 to 777 of the family's 1533-position model. The record is from RNAcentral.